Molecule: signal recognition particle RNA, 302 nt
Filed under: Aotus nancymaae (Ma's night monkey)
Lineage: Eukaryota; Metazoa; Chordata; Mammalia; Primates; Aotidae
Description: Metazoan signal recognition particle RNA (ENSANAG00000003786.1)
Rfam family: Metazoan signal recognition particle RNA
About the family: The signal recognition particle (SRP) is a universally conserved ribonucleoprotein. It is involved in the co-translational targeting of proteins to membranes.
Source: RNAcentral
GCCGGGCACGGUGGCGCGUGCCUGUAGUCCCAGCUACUCAGGAGGCUGAGGUGGGCGGAUCGAUUGAGCCCAGGAGUUCUGGGCUGUAGUGCACUAUGCAAUUGGGUGGGUGUCUGCACUAAGUUCUGCAUCAAUAUGGUGACCCCCCCGAAAGCAGGGGACCACCAGGUUGCCUAAGGAGGGGUGAACGGCCCAGGAUGGAAACUGAGCAGGUCAAAACUCCCAAGCUGAUUAGUAAUGGGAUCACACCUGUGAAUAACCACUGCACUCCAGCCUGGGCAACAUAGCAAGACCCUGUCUCA